RNAcentral lists this ribosomal RNA (299 nucleotides) under Pseudomonas aeruginosa. RNAcentral describes it as "partial 16S ribosomal RNA". It matches the Rfam family "Bacterial small subunit ribosomal RNA", at positions 1 to 302 of the family's 1533-position model. The record is from RNAcentral. Lineage: Bacteria; Pseudomonadati; Pseudomonadota; Gammaproteobacteria; Pseudomonadales; Pseudomonadaceae.
GAACUGAAGAGUUUGAUCAUGGCUCAGAUUGAACGCUGGCGGCAGGCCUAACACAUGCAAGUCGAGCGGAUGAAGGGAGCUUGCUCCUGGAUUCAGCGGCGGACGGGUGAGUAAUGCCUAGGAAUCUGCCUGGUAGUGGGGGAUAACGUCCGGAAACGGGCGCUAAUACCGCAUACGUCCUGAGGGAGAAAGUGGGGGAUCUUCGGACCUCACGCUAUCAGAUGAGCCUAGGUCGGAUUAGCUAGUUGGUGGGGUAAAGGCCUACCAAGGCGACGAUCCGUAACUGGUCUGAGAGGAUG